AACGCGAAGAACCUUACCAAGUCUUGACAUCCCUCUGACGUACUCGUAAUGGAGUAUUCCUUUCGGGGCAGAGGAGACAGGUGGUGCAUGGUUGUCGUCAGCUCGUGUCGUGAGAUGUUGGGUUAAGUCCCGCAACGAGCGCAACCCUUAUCUUUAGUAGCCAGCAAGUAAUGUUGGGCACUCUAGAGAGACUGCCAGGGAGAACCUGGAGGAAGGUGGGGAUGACGUCAAAUCAUCAUGCCCCUUAUGACUUGGGCUACACACGUGCUACAAUGGCGUAAACAAAGGGAAGCAGCCCUGUGAAGGUGAGCAAAUCCCAAAAAUAACGUCUCAGUUCGGAUUGUAGUCUGCAACUCGACUACAUGAAGCUGGAAUCGCUAGUAAUCGCGAAUCAGAAUGUCGCGGUGAAUACGUUCCCGGGUCUUGUACACACCG
Molecule: ribosomal RNA, 435 nt
Filed under: uncultured bacterium
Lineage: Bacteria
Description: bacterial SSU rRNA
Rfam family: Bacterial small subunit ribosomal RNA
Source: RNAcentral